RNAcentral lists this long non-coding RNA (1115 nucleotides) under Betta splendens (Siamese fighting fish). RNAcentral's name for it is "lncRNA (ENSBSLG00000005842.1)". The record is from RNAcentral. Lineage: Eukaryota; Metazoa; Chordata; Actinopteri; Anabantiformes; Osphronemidae.
AUGCUCCCAUUGCUUACACACCACUCUGACUGUAAAGUGCAAUUUCCCGUUGACUCAUGUUUCUGCCCUGCAACUAUCAUUAGCCGUGUGUGUGCGCGCUGUUGGUGUUUACAUAUGCGGCGUGAACGCACCCCCGAAGGCUGCGCGUGUUUUUCCUGUCAAUCCACAGAUGUGGUCCGGCAUCAAAGUGCGCUUCUUCCCCAGGGUGAUGCAUCCGCACCCGUCAGAAGUCAGGAGGCCUGUGUUUGCUCCAGGGAUUACAUUACCACACCACAGAGCUGCCAGACAGACCCGCUGCACCACCACCCAAGCGGGAACGCGGGGCCCCCUUUCUGCGCGGCGCGUUGGAAACAGAUCAGCUCGGAGCAGCCGGGGAACAUGAAAGGAGGGCGCUGACUACGGGGGAUGAGCGCAUUCCUCCACGACCCGCCGCCGCUGCCGCCGCUGGCCUGUGGCCGCACAGGGGAGCUCACAGCGAGGAACGCCGUUGCCUCAAAGUAAGGUGGAGGGUGGGGGGGGGGGGGGGGGGGGGGGGGGGGGGGGGGGGGGGGGGGGGGUUGGGGGUGAAUAUCCUUGAGCUCCUUCAGAUCUCAGGCAGCAAGCAGCACUUGACCUUUCCAGCACUAAAGGAAUAUGACAGCCGUGAAGCCGACAGAGAGGACGGGGGAGCAGGGCGGGGGGUGUGGGGGGGGGGCAGCGAGAGGCUAGAGACAAAAGCCACACAAAGUGCAGGCUGCCACCAAAACAGUUAGUUUGCAAUCAACGUCAGUCAUCCCUCCUGUCGGGACAGUUUGAUUUCCACUUUUCAAAUGAGGCGUUUAUUUUUGGCCUGAUAACAGGGCUGGCUAAAUUGAAAUUGGCAGCUCGACAAUCUACAGAUAAUAGUCAGCGACGCAGGAGAUCAUGUGAACAGCCCUUUCUUUCUCUUUACUGGGGCCCCCGCCCGCUCUCCUGUCGAAGACGAGAAAGGAGGAAAUGAGGGAGGGAGAGGGAGAGAAAAAGGGCUAAUCUUUGUCACAAUCAGAGGAGGCUGAGAAGGCAAAAAAGGAGUCUAAAAAUGAACCGGGUGGGGGGGGCGCAGACAAGGGGGGAGAAGGUAGCGUAAUGUGCUGGUG